This 1966-nucleotide long non-coding RNA is filed under the name Brassica napus (rape). RNAcentral's name for it is "long non-coding RNA (BNAP_LNC004707)". Lineage: Eukaryota; Viridiplantae; Streptophyta; Magnoliopsida; Brassicales; Brassicaceae. The record is from RNAcentral.
CGGGCAUUAAGACUCUAGCCAAAACGUAGCCGCCACUACUCUUGGAGGAGAGGGUAUACCACUUAUAACAAGUAAACCCGAACCUCAAGCAAACAUAGAGACAAGUCUCCGUGAGGCCCAAGAGUGACCUAACCUUGUAAAGCUCAGGUGAAACCACCAUACAUCGGAAGCUCUUGGAGACCAGUGACAAAGUCCGAUAGUACGAUCUUGGAACGCGUGCCACGAUCAUCACUAGCAAAUCAUAGGGAAGUGACGACGAUGAUGAUGUGAGCUUCUUCUUCUUCUUCUUCUCCCUAAUACUCGUAGUCGUCGUUGUCUUCCUCUUCCUCCUCGUCGAUACGGAAUCGCCCUUGAUCAACCUCUCCAUUUCGGCUCCAAUUUAGGGGUUGGCGCCUCCCUGGCGGAACAAACAAACAAACAAAAAAAAUUAUUGAGUAGGUGAAAUUAGGGUUCCUCUCGGAAGAAAACGAAACUGCGACCUUCUUCUUCUUCUCGCCGUUUGGUUUGAUUUUUUCAAAGCUGCUGUGUACUAUUAUGGGUAUGGGGUCUUUUGUAUUGGGCUUUAUUAAGCCCACUACCUCUCUCUACAAUUUAAAUGCGGAUUUUGGGUUAUAGCAUUUCGUUUUGGGUAUGGGGUAUUUUCUAUUGGGCUUUGUUAAGCACACUAUUUUGGGUGCGUAUAGCAUUUCGUUUUUACAAAACAUGUCUGAAAUUUUAGAAUUUUGGAUCUUUCUACAAUACUAAACCAUUUUAGACUUAAAGCUUCUAAUCAUGACUCUCUCUCUUCUCUCUUAGAAAGAGAAAACUCUCUGUAAUUUCUUCUUCCUUCUUAUCACACUAUCAUCUUUCAGAGGGAAAGAAAUUGUCAGAGGGAGAGAGAGUCAUGUUUUUUGGUUUGUAAAAUAGAUUCGAUCGAUGAGAUCGAUCUUCCUUUCCGUAUAUCGGAUUUCAUGUUCGCUAUGGCGAUUUUGUUGUUUCGCUUAGGCGAUUUUGUGGUGUUACCGACUCAAAAUCAAAGCUUUUCUUCAUGAAUUUGUUGUGUUCUUUGAUUAUGGGUUGAGUUUAAUAAAUCUUUGCUCUCAUCCUUCUGUUUUAAUGUGUUUUAUCCGCUCAAUCAAGAGAAUUGAUUUCUCUUAUUGUUAGUAAAGCUCGGUUCUUGAUUCUGAUUUGGAAUCAAUCUUCGUUUUAUAUCAACCGAAGUAUCCAAGAUGGUCAAGAUCGGAGGUGUGGAUUAUGCUUUGGAGAUUCGAUGCAGAGCUUAGAAGAGUUGGAGCUGCCCAGGGGUUAGUGUUCCAGCAAGGUUCUGUUCUCGUUUCACUUCUGAAGCUUUCCUUGGUUCAAAUCCCUACCGAUUGGAGAUAAAAUCCUCGUUGGUUGGCGAUGAUUGAAGGUUUGAAGAGCAAGCAAGCAGCUUCAGACGAAUCGGAGAUGGAGACUGUUGGUUGUUCUGGCAGAGAUCCGGCACCGCUUCCGACAUCUCGGUUCAUGGAAUAGCGGGCCCACGCGCAAGCACGUGUCAUACAUGCAAGAAUCCUUAUCUCUUGUUUUUUUGGGUUCCGUUUGGGCUUUAUUAAUUUUGUAUCUUAAUUUGAAUCUGCCUGUAAAUGUGACCCAUUGGGGAUGGUUAAUAAAACCAAAAGUUGACAAAAAAAAAAAAGACUUAAAGCUUCUAUCUUUUACUCUAAACCAAUAAUUUUACAAACAUUUAUAACUAGAUGAUACAUUAUUAAUUCAAGUACCGUUAAAUACAAACAAAACAAAUUGGGGGAGACAUAGAGACAAGUCUCCGUGAGGCCCAAGAGUGACCUAACCUUGUAAAGCUCAGGUGAAACCACCAUACAUCGGAAGCUCUUGGAGACUAGUGACAAAGUCCGAUAGUACGAUCUUGGAACGCGUGCCACGAUCAUCACUAGCAUAUCAUAGGGAAGUGACGACGAUGAUGAUGUGAGCUUCUUCUUCUUCUUCU